AGUGACACACCGAUCUCAGUACAUACUAAGUGCUAAUAUAUCUAUGUAUGUAUGUGUAUGUGAGCAAAUGCAAUUAGAAAGCAGUAACAAAGAAAGUCUAAAGAAAUGCUUGCAACGAUCUGCGCUAUUGCUAUUUAUUUACCUUUGUUGACGUAGGUCAAUAACUUAUUGAGUUGUGUCGAUGAUAUUAAAAAGCAUAAGUAAGUUAAGUGUGCACUAAAAAACGUGAAGAAAAGUAAGAAAUUAAUUAUUUGAGCUAUUCAAACGUACAACAAACAAAACAAUCAAUUCAAGCAACAAUAGAAGUAGAAGGUACGAACAAGAUAAGUAUAACAGCAGCGCGAUAACAACAAUUGUUACCGGACAUUUCUAACCAGCACUAGGCAGAGAGGUGUAAAGUGAAGUCAGCAUACGAAAAGUGGCAUCAGCGGCAAACACAACGAGCUGUUUACACGCACACCUUUGCACAUAUUGCUACUUCCACUUUGUUCGCAUUCUUGAAUUUUUGCUGUCCGUUGCCAGCAAGUCGCAUACAUGAACUUGGUGCGACUGUGUGCCGGCAGAAAGCAGGUUUUCCUAUAGUGGAAGGUAGGAAGAUAUGUAAAAAGUAAUUACAAGCAACAUACAUACAUAUGUACAUAUAUAUAGAUGUAUUAAUGUGCAUUUGCGCGUAUGUGUAAAUAAAAGAAGUGAGAUCAAGUCGUAGAUCAAAAAGGGUAACGAGUAGAGCGGUGACAGUUGCAAGAGAAAACGAAUUGUGCAGAAAAUUUCCAAGCCAAUUAGUGUAAAUGUUAAGAAAAUAUAAAAUUAAAUAAAUACUAGUGCAUUUUUCUGUAAUUGCAGUGCGUUUUUUUGCGAGUGUAAAGAGUGCAACAUAAUUAACCGGUAGUGUUUUACCGCAAUCUUGUGCUUGCAAAGUUGUUCAACGACUUUGCAGUAGUUUUCGACAAUUUUUAGUGAAAUCGUGCUGUGCCACAAUAAAAAGCGCACGACUUGAACGGAAUUCAACGCAAAACCACUACAACACUUUUGUGCAACAGCAGCAUUAACAACAACCAAGUUUAUACAAAAAAAGACUACCAACGUAAAGCAUUUGCCAAAAGUUCUGACUACGGCAGCACCUACUUUUGGGCACUUCAAUUCGAGUGCAUAGCCAGCUGCACCUACGUUUGCAAGCCGGAAAUGCCAGCGUGCUAAGUAACUUGUGAAAGUCGCCAACUCCUUUGUACUGUGCUUUUGAGUGCUUGGUUGCAUACAUAUACUAAAUCCUUUCACAUUGUGCCGACUUUUAGUGUUUUCUUGGAAUAUUGAGUCAGCCCUACAUUUGUGCGUUCCUAGCGUUGAUUCAUCUUAACUGGGCAAUAAAUAAACGACAUCUACAGAACGGAAGCUGCCGCACUUGCAACAAUUGCAGUGGCAUAUUUCUUGACUGCUGACUUCGUUUUCCUGCGGGCAGUGGAUAGCGCUUUUUAAGCUGUAUAUCCACAUAUCAUUUUCUGUCCCCAACUUUUUAAUGCAAUAAUUAUGUCAUGGGAUCUUGUACGCGACGACACUUUAUGCUGUCAACAUGCUUGCUGCAAAUGAUAACAAUCAUCGAACGCCAAGUAUUCGACUUUCUCGGAUAUAUGUGGGCGCCCAUUUUGGUCAAUUUCUUUCACAUAAUUUUCAUUAUUUUGGGAUUUUAUGGAGCAUAUCACUUUAGAAUAAAAUAUAUAAUAACCUAUUUAAUAUGGAGCUUCAUUUGGAUCGGUUGGAAUGCUUUUCUCAUAUGCUUUUACCUGAAUGUAGGCAUAUUGGAUCGGGACAGCGACCUGCUAAAUUUGGGCACCGGUAGCGUCUCCUGGUUCGAGGUGAACGGUUAUGGUUGCAAGCCAACAUAUCCAGUCAAUAUCACCUCCGAUGAUCCAUUUCGUCCAAUACGUCCGGAACGUGUGGACGAUUGCUUAUUAGAUUAUACUAUAGUCGAAAUUGUGCAGUCGGGUGUGCAAUGCGCUUUAGCGUUACUUGGUAUUUUAGGCGCCAUAUUAAUAAGUUACAUAUUCCUCGAUGAAGAUGACAGAUUCGAUUUCGUGAAUGGCGACGCCAAGAGUCCCCAGCACACGGUGGUCCAUCCAAUGUACGUGAGCUACAGCAGCAUACCGACCUCGGCUAGCGCUAGCGCUACAUUGCUCUCAAAUAAGCAUCACAACAAUCACCAAGCACCACUUAACAAUAACAACCACAACCACCAAAUUCAUGCGCAACAACAGCAACUGCAACUGCAGCAGCAACAACUCCACCAUCAUCAGCAACCAAAUAAUUUUAACAGUAACACAUUUCUAAUACACACAAACAGCAUCAGCAACAACAGCCAUAGCCAUAGUCAUAGUCAAGGUCAGAGUCAGAGACAGAGUCACAGUCACAGUCAGAGCAAUAGUCGCAGCCGCAGCCACAGCCGCAGCAAUAGCCGCAGCAAUAGCCAGAGCGGUGGCAAUGGCGUCGGUGUCGGCGGUGGCGGUGGCGGCGGCGCGUCAAAGAAAGGUCGUGGCGGCGGCGAUGGCAACAGCAACUAUCACAGCGCGAGCAAAAAUAGCACUUUAACCCGCAUACUUUACAGUCCGAAGAGUAGCAAUAAGAUCGGCGCCACGACGGGCAAUACGAUUGUGGUGGCGACGGAGAUGUUGCAGCGGCAGCAAUCGCUGCCACAGACGCAUACCGCUAAUUUGCAUGGCGCGCAGCAUUAUUAUGACGACAGCACCGCCAAGGCGGAUCAGCUGUAUACGAACAGCAAUCGACGACAGUUCUUGAACGGCGCAACAACAUAUCAACAACAACAGCAAGUUGGCACACCGAACUCCUCGACGCACGACAACACGACCUCGUCGCUCUCGUACGCUUCGCUGCAGAAUUCCAAUUUGAAUUUGACACAGAGCUUGCGCGGUGUCGGCGGCGGCGCGGCCCCCGGUGUUGGGUUCGGUUACGCAGGCAGCGGCGGAGACUGGUAGACUACGAUUGCUGAGUUGAUUUAUUGCUCUCACAUUAACGGUUGAAUGGUUGUUAAAGCUUCUAUCAAACACACACACACACUCUCUCUCAAGCUGCUCAAAUGCGCGCUUUCGCACACAAACUCAGCGUGCGCUCUCAAACCUAAAUACUCUCUCUCUCACCCACUCAAUUGAAACGUUACUGUUAAUUAGCAUGCCUGCGCUCUCAUCGCUCUCUCGUCGCGUCAUUGUUGUUGUGCGCGAUGCAAGCGUAUACGCCACGCUUUUUGCAUGCGCUGAUGUUGCUGUUGCUACUAAAGAGAUGUUGCCGCAACAUGUUGCUAAAUGCAUAGAAAUCGCAUUGUCAAGCGGCUGCCAAGUAAAAAUUAAGGCAUGUUAGCAAGAAGUCCAAGCACCGCCAAUCGCUCUACUCCAUCGAAUUCGGACCCAGCAUCGACACGAUACGCAGUCGCGCCG
RNAcentral lists this unclassified non-coding RNA (3440 nucleotides) under Bactrocera tryoni. Its description in RNAcentral is "sodium/potassium-transporting ATPase subunit beta-1- interacting protein, transcript variant X4". Lineage: Eukaryota; Metazoa; Arthropoda; Insecta; Diptera; Tephritidae. The record is from RNAcentral.